This 195-nucleotide microRNA precursor is filed under the name Pelobates cultripes (western spadefoot toad). Lineage: Eukaryota; Metazoa; Chordata; Amphibia; Anura; Pelobatidae. The record is from RNAcentral.
GAUAGGUAAAUAGAGGAAUAACAAAGGAAGGAAAGAGGGGAAAAGGAAGGGGGAGGAACACUUCCUAACUGUAUACCUCGGCACAGUGAGAAUCACAAGUGAUUCUCACUGUGCCGAGGUAUACAGUUAGGAAGUGUUCCUCCCCCUUCCUUUUCCCCUCUUUCCUUCCUUUGUUAUUCCUCUAUUUACCUAUCU